AUACCUUUCUCGGCCUUUUGGCUAAGAUCAAGUGUAGUAUUUGUUCUUAUCAGUUUAAUAUUUGAUAUGUGGGCCAAUAGUUCACACGAUAUUAACUCUAUUUUUUUGGGGGAAGGUCUUUUACGGUAGCUUGCUACUUGGGCUUUCAUGCGUCGCCUUGGUGUUGCACUACUGCCUUGGUCCGGCGACCCCCAC
Molecule: small nuclear RNA, 195 nt
Filed under: Ipomoea nil (Japanese morning glory)
Lineage: Eukaryota; Viridiplantae; Streptophyta; Magnoliopsida; Solanales; Convolvulaceae
Description: U2 spliceosomal RNA
Rfam family: U2 spliceosomal RNA
About the family: U2 is a small nuclear RNA (snRNA) component of the spliceosome (involved in pre-mRNA splicing).
Source: Rfam by way of RNAcentral